AUAGUGUGUUUUCGAUUCAUGGUACUGAAGAUUGGACAGAGCGCCAGUAGACCACAGAUUCGGAUAUGGACCCUUCAUCGCAGAGGGCAGUGGAAGAAGAAGUAGUAAGUCAUAUCCCGACUGGGAGUGAUAUUGGAAAUCGGGGAGAUCCUGCUCCACCAGUGCAAGAGGUGCCUGUACAACCCCAACAGGCCUUGUUUAAGCAGAUGACUGGAUUCUUUCGACAGAUGACUGGGGUUGUUCCACCAUUGUCUCAGUAGAAAUCACCUCUAGGAAAAAUUAGGAAGUAUGGAGCUGUAGAUUUCAAUGGUCGAAAGGAAGACGAUUCUGCAGCGGCUAAGUAUUGGUUAGAAAGGACUGAAAGAGUCCUGCAGCAGCUCCAUUGCACACCAGAACAGAGUUUGGAGUGUGCAGUUUCGUUGUUACAAGAAGCUGCAUAUCGAUGGUGGGAUGUCGUAACCAAGGUAGUGCCACCAACAGACAUAACUUGGAAAUUCUUUCUGAUAGAGUUCAGAAAGAAAUAUAUUAGCUGUGUUCAUGAAGAGGAACAGAAGAGGAGUGGUGAUCAGCAAAAGAGGAAAUUUGGACAGUCUAGUAAUAAGAGGCCGAGAGAACAGUUAAGUCAGACAUAUGAUCAAAGUAGGAGAUCUAGACCCAAGCCUAUAUCCAGGAGAGAUCAACCAGAAACACUAAUAGUGAGUGCGCCAGGAUUAGCAAGAAAAUGUGGCCAUUGUAACAAGUGGCAUAAAGGUGAAUGUAGGGGAUUGACUGGAGCCUGUUAUAGAUGUGGGGCCAUAGACCAUCGUCUGAAAGAUUGUCCUAAGAGGAAUUUACCACGGACCCAGACAGAGGUCGUGGAAGGACCAAGUACAACAGUAACACCACUUCCAAAUGUUACCCAAGUCGGAGAGGAACAAGAAGCCCCAGAUGUGAAUUUGA
RNAcentral lists this unclassified non-coding RNA (939 nucleotides) under Hevea brasiliensis (rubber tree). Lineage: Eukaryota; Viridiplantae; Streptophyta; Magnoliopsida; Malpighiales; Euphorbiaceae. The record is from RNAcentral.